UACGGAGGGUGCAAGCGUUGCUCGGAAUCACUGGGCGUAAAGAGCGUGUAGGCGGUUUCGUAUGUCUGGCGUGAAAGCCCCGGGCUCACCCCGGGAAGUGCGCUGGAAACUGCAUGGCUCGAGUACCGGAGAGGUUGGUGGAAUUCUCGGUGUAGAGGUGAAAUUCGUAGAGAUCGAGAGGAACACCGGUGGCGAAGGCGGCCAACUGGACGGAUACUGACGAUGAGACACGAAAGAGUGGGGAGCAAACAGG
RNAcentral lists this ribosomal RNA (253 nucleotides) under uncultured bacterium. RNAcentral's name for it is "partial 16S ribosomal RNA". It matches the Rfam family "Bacterial small subunit ribosomal RNA", at positions 524 to 776 of the family's 1533-position model. The record is from RNAcentral.